Molecule: non-coding RNA, 73 nt
Organism: Paramuricea clavata
Lineage: Eukaryota; Metazoa; Cnidaria; Anthozoa; Malacalcyonacea; Plexauridae
Source: the annotation of a GenBank genome assembly
GACCGCGUAGCUCAGUUGGAAGAGCAUUGGGCUGGUAUUCCAAAGGUCGUAGGUUCGAAUCCCGCCGUGCCCA